Molecule: small RNA, 116 nt
Organism: Rhizobium sp. PDO1-076
Lineage: Bacteria; Pseudomonadati; Pseudomonadota; Alphaproteobacteria; Hyphomicrobiales; Rhizobiaceae
Rfam family: Alphaproteobacterial ar15
Source: Rfam
AGCUGAUGCAUAUGGUGGCUUUUUCCUCCCAGUUCCACCGCAGCAGCUGUUCCCCUCUGGAGGUUUUUGACCUUCACACUUUAAAGGGCCCUGGAUUUUUCCAGUGGCCCUCUUUU